RNAcentral lists this ribosomal RNA (253 nucleotides) under uncultured bacterium. RNAcentral describes it as "partial 16S ribosomal RNA". It matches the Rfam family "Bacterial small subunit ribosomal RNA", at positions 524 to 776 of the family's 1533-position model. The record is from RNAcentral.
UACGUAGGGGGCUAGCGUUGUCCGGAAUCAUUGGGCGUAAAGCGCGCGUAGGCGGCCCGGCAAGUCCGCUGUGAAAGUCGGGGGCUCAACCCUCGGAUGCCGGUGGAUACUGGCGGGCUCGAGUACGGAAGAGGCGAGUGGAAUUCCUGGUGUAGCGGUGAAAUGCGCAGAUAUCAGGAAGAACACCCGUGGCUAAGGCGGCUCUCUAGGACGGUACUGACGCUGAGACGCGAAAGCGUGGGGAGCGAACAGG